Molecule: long non-coding RNA, 1975 nt
Filed under: Apis mellifera (honey bee)
Lineage: Eukaryota; Metazoa; Arthropoda; Insecta; Hymenoptera; Apidae
Description: uncharacterized LOC100576661, transcript variant X3
Source: RNAcentral
CGAUGCGCGGCCGAUAAUGUAGCGUCAGCCAUGCACUGUACCGCAUUUUGGUUAAGCGUGAUCACGCUCGCGAUCCUCUUGUUUUGGGCUGUGGAGCGUGGAAACACCACUUCGGACCCGGAUCCCCGGAAUAUAAUUUACAUCAUCACCCACGGGAAAAGGAAACACAAAGGGAAGAUCAUUGAGAUACACAGGCAUCGUCCAAAGCACAAGCUGAACAUCAUACUCGUCAAUUCGUGAAUAGAUCUCGAACGAAAUUUGUUUAAAGUGACGGAGAACCAGGAAACGUUUCUUUCUCGAGAAAAAGAUCAGAGGAAAUAACAAUGGGCAAUUGUAAAAUGUGUAUUGAGACUAUAUGAUAUGUAAAAAUUUGAUGCUUCGUCGUUAAAAUGUAUGCAUGCAAAUGUUUAAUGUUAAAAAUGAAUAUUCGUAUACGUUUACAUGUAAUCCUUAUUUCAUUAUGAAGAUUAAUGAAUAUGUUUUGUUUCACGCGAUAUUCGCGCGUUUAAACGCGCAAGUUUGCACGUUUCGUAUAACUUACGGGUCAGUCUCUUUGUCGAGCGACAUCAUGCUCAACGACACUCGUAAGUUAGUCGUUUAUUAUGGAAUUAUAUGCAAUUCUAACGGUAUGUAGGCGAUCGUCCCACCAUGGCAGGAACUUAACUAUCGUGCAGAGUGAUAAAUAUUACAGUUAUUACGCGUAUGUAUAUGCAACAGUUGUUAAACAAGGGAACGAGAACUAGAAGAGGAGGAUAUUGAAUAUUCUCGAAAUCUUAAUAUUUUUCAAACGAUAAGAUACUUAAAUCGCAAUCGACCCGAGGUUAAUCAAUUGAUCAUCAAUUCCUCUUGGCAAAUUUCCAAUCUUUGAUCCUGUAUCCGCCAUUCUACACUUUUUCACGAUUUCACUUUCGUUCACGAGGGAUAUGGUUUCUGCUUGAAGAGCUAGUCACGAGGGAAAGAUAGAAAGAGAUAGAAAGUUUCGUUUUGAACUGAAUAUCUAAGAGAUCCCAAAGAGCUUCAACGACAUUGUCCAUGAUCAAUAUACAAUAUGCAAUAUAAUGGAACAUAUAGUGAGACAGAAGAGCAUAACCAUGAGCAAAUAGAAAAUGUUAGGGCCUAAAAUCUGAAGAUUCCAUUUCGCUAAUUUCCCUAACUUUACCCUUGAAGAAGUGCUGAACAUUGGAUUAAAGUUUGAAGCCUCCACUCAGCUAAUUUUGCAAUUCCUAACUUUCCCCUAGAUAGAUCUAAAGUCUGUGCUAAUUUUCCAUUAUUCUCAUCUCGUCCAGAAAAUGUAUAGCGGAUAACCCAAUAGAAUCUCAAACUCUGAAAUUUUCAAUCUUACCGCUAGCUUCGAAUCACUUAUCCUAUAAUAUUAUCUAACCGCUUGAAGUUAUACUCGCAAAAUGGUAGAAGCAACAGAGAGCAAAGGAACACCGGAAGCGUUCGGUCAAGGUAAGACGUUGCCUCUGCUCGCGGCGUAUAUGCACAUUCGUUCUCAACCGCGCUUUCCUCUCGAUGAAACGUUUUCCCUGCCUGGCAAAGGCAUCGGUUCUCCCAUUAAUUGCAUUCUGCUCCUCGUUCCACGUUUCCUCGCUUUCGUUUCCCUUCUCGAGUUAGUUUGAUAGCAUUGAACACCAUGUCGAGAAAUGACUUUAGAAUAAGAUUCACCAAAAAUUUUUUUACUCGAAACUCGGCUUCGAAUCUGGCUAAUAAAUUGAUUGCACAAAGGUGACUAAUUUAUGUGUGACUUUAGCAAGAACAAUGUUGAUAUUUAGAGAGCGAAUUUCGUGAGAAAUGUUUCAUUCGCACGAAUUAUUUAAGCGAAGUACAGUGUAAGAGUGAAAAUAAGAGGGUGAGGAAAGGAACUUGAUUUAAACUUGUUAUUAAGAUUGAUAUACCCCUUGGUGAGGAUAAUCACUGGUGUUAAACUAGAUUGUCACUGAACUUCAAUCGAGAUCAAAUGUUUUGACCUUUA